UUCUAAUAUGGCAGAAUAGUGCAUUGGAUUUAAACCCCAAAUAUAAAGACUAUUUAUCUUUUUUUAGA
RNAcentral lists this transfer RNA (68 nucleotides) under Lamiinae sp. 4 ACP-2013. Its description in RNAcentral is "tRNA-Leu". The record is from RNAcentral. Lineage: Eukaryota; Metazoa; Arthropoda; Insecta; Coleoptera; Cerambycidae.